CGCGGGGUAGAGCAGCUUGGUAGCUCGUCAGGCUCAUAACCUGAAGGUCGUAGGUUCAAAUCCUACCCCCGCAA
This 74-nucleotide transfer RNA is filed under the name alpha proteobacterium HIMB59. It matches the Rfam family "tRNA". Rfam says of the family: Transfer RNA (tRNA) molecules are approximately 80 nucleotides in length. Lineage: Bacteria; Pseudomonadati; Pseudomonadota; Alphaproteobacteria; Candidatus Pelagibacterales; Candidatus Pelagibacteraceae. The record is from Rfam by way of RNAcentral.